GAGGAAUAUUGGUCAAUGGACGGAAGUCUGAACCAGCCAAGUAGCGUGCAGGAUGACGGCCCUAUGGGUUGUAAACUGCUUUUGUAUGGGGAUAAAGUUAGGGACGCGUCCCUAUUUGCAGGUACCAUACGAAUAAGGACCGGCUAAUUCCGUGCCAGCAGCCGCGGUAAUACGGAAGGUCCAGGCGUUAUCCGGAUUUAUUGGGUUUAAAGGGAGCGUAGGCUGGAGAUUAAGUGUGUUGUGAAAUGUAGACGCUCAACGUCUGAAUUGCAGCGCAUACUGGUUUCCUUGAGUACGCACAACGUUGGCGGAAUUCGUCGUGUAGCGGUGAAAUGCUUAGAUAUGACGAAGAACUCCGAUUGCGAAGGCAGCUGACGGGAGCGCAACUGACGCUUAAGCUCGAAGGUGCGGGUAUCAAACAGGAUUAGAUACCCUGGUAGUCCGCACAGUAAACGAUGGAUGCCCGCUGUUGGUACCUGGUAUCAGCGGCUAAGCGAAAGCAUUAAGCAUCCCACCUGGGGAGUACGCCGGCAACGGUG
Molecule: ribosomal RNA, 539 nt
Filed under: uncultured bacterium
Lineage: Bacteria
Description: bacterial SSU rRNA
Rfam family: Bacterial small subunit ribosomal RNA
Source: RNAcentral